ACCCUCCCUCCCAGACCCUCCCACCUCCUGGACAGCAUCAACAUGGAUGCUGUCCAGGAGAUGGGAGGGUCUGGGAGGGAGGGU
RNAcentral lists this microRNA precursor (84 nucleotides) under Pelobates cultripes (western spadefoot toad). Lineage: Eukaryota; Metazoa; Chordata; Amphibia; Anura; Pelobatidae. The record is from RNAcentral.